Molecule: long non-coding RNA, 138 nt
Organism: Octopus sinensis (East Asian common octopus)
Lineage: Eukaryota; Metazoa; Mollusca; Cephalopoda; Octopoda; Octopodidae
Exons: 3
Source: RefSeq, a predicted model, not a curated record
AAGAAUGGAAGAAACAUUUUACCAUCUAGUUUCCUGGACCAAUUGGUUUCUGAUUUUAGUUUAGUGAGUCAAGGAACUCGCCAGGUGUAAUCUUCUUCAGCAGGACAACUUAGGGUUAAACGUAUACACACGGCGAUC